Molecule: long non-coding RNA, 1337 nt
Organism: Ostrinia furnacalis (Asian corn borer)
Lineage: Eukaryota; Metazoa; Arthropoda; Insecta; Lepidoptera; Crambidae
Exons: 3
Source: RefSeq, a predicted model, not a curated record
GAUAUACUCUUUGUUGUGUGUUUUUUCUUUAAACCUGGUAUUGGCCGAUUCAACCACAGAAAAAGAAUAUUAGCCAUAACCAUAAAAGUUGAAGUUCAAAUGUCAGUGUCAUUUAGUUUCGCACAGUGAUAAAUUCCAGUGACAUUCAAUUUUUGUAAUGGCAAAAUAUUUGUAAGAAACUGCAAACAAAUGCAAAUGUGCAGUCGAUGUGUGGAAUGCGACAACAUUAUACUCGAUAAUUUCAAUUAUUGAGAGUGUUGUGGCUUAGAAACAAUUAGGCAGUUAAGAAUAAACAAGGCUCGGGCACUAUCAAACCUUUUUCCUAAAAAGCAAAAAGCUGCUUCUGCUGCAUCACAAGAUUUAUUUGAUGACUUUCAGGUUGAUAACGAAGAGUUGACGGUAAUCGAGGAUUCAUUGAUGAUUGAUGAUGCUUCUUCAGACAACAAGAAAAAACAGCUACUGUCAGUCAGCUUCUUCGGACAACAAGGAAAAACAGAUGCUGUCAGUCAGCAGUGAUUUUAUUUCUUUAGAAGAAGAAGAAGAAGAAAACAUAUCAAAUGGCGGACAGACCCCCGAAAAAACGUAAAUAAUCAAGCAGGUUUAGUAGGUACAGAAUAUCAGCCCCCCAGGACUAACUAUUUAUAUUUAGCACUUUCAAAUAACACCAUUCAAGUAUCAGUACAUUCAGUUGGUUCUAUGAUUAAUGAAUGUGUUCAAUGUCAAGCACUUCAUUUUUUAGGUGAAAAAAUUUUAGCCCAUUAUUUUACGCUGAAAAUCUUUUUCAUGAAUAUUGUGUCUUGGCCUAUGUUAGGAUUGAAUCUCAAAGAUUAUUGUUUCUUCGAAUGAAUCAAAAACAGCUCAGAGCUGACAAUUAUAACAAUAUAAUGAUAGAGAAAUGGGUCAAGGCAUUGGUAAAAUGAUAAUAUUGCCAGCAACUUAUGUGGGAAGUCCUCGGCAUAUGAUGCAAAAUUAUCAGGAUUCCAUGGCAAUUGUAUGCAAGUACUUAUGGUAAACCAGACUUAUUUAUAACAUUAACGUGCAAUCCGAAUUGGCAAGAAAUCUUAGAAAAUUUACAAGGCGCUAAAAAAGAACAUAGACCCUAUUUAAUUGCCUGAAUUUUUAAACUUAAAUUGGAGGAACUUUUAGAUGACAUUACAAGAAAAUAUUUUUUUGGAAUACCGAGUGCGUGGUUUUACACUAUUGAAUUUCAGAAACGUGGGCUUCCACAUGCGCAUAUGCUUAUUAUUCUAAGAAAUGAAGAUAAACCAAGGUCAUCAGUAGAUUAUGAUAAAUUUGUGUGUGCAGAAAUACCUGACCCAGAUAAAGACCAGGAACUU